Long non-coding RNA from Equus asinus (donkey), 1716 nucleotides. The record is from Ensembl. Lineage: Eukaryota; Metazoa; Chordata; Mammalia; Perissodactyla; Equidae.
UUUCGCUUCUUUGGGUACAGACUGAGGAGUGGCAUUGCUGGGUCCCCCUGGCGGGUCUAUGUUUGACGUUUCGAGGACCUGCGGACUUUUGAGGGUGCUCUGACAACAGCGUCUCCUUUGUGCCCUGUUUGUGCCUGAGGAUCCAGGCCGCAGCCUGGCGCUCAUCCCUGCACGGGGCCUCCUUUCUGUCUGGGGUGGAUGUGCAACGGGAAAUGAGCACAUGGGCUGGCUCGCCAGCCUCCCUGCUGGGUGGUUUCCCCCGUGUGGUGGCCAGGAGGAAAGGGGACCCUCAGGGACCUCCACUCGACAGUGACACUGCUUGCCUGCGUCCACGGGCCUGUGCCGCCUCCCGCAGCUCCUCUCUUUGGUCCCAGGAUGGCUCCGUCCUGAGCCUGUCUCCCCCGCCGGAGGAGUCCAGCCGAGAGCAGCCGGACGACAGGAAGGACCUCCCGUGGGGGGCCCAGUUUGAGCCGAUGCUGCUGGAGACGGACAGAAGCCGGGCUCCCUGCCCGCGGAGAGGUUGGCGACCCAGCCUGCGCUCCCCGGGAGGCCCGGAGCCGGGAUCCCCACGGACAGCGGAGGCCCCGCUCAGCGCUCGGGCACUCAAGGAGAUGGCCGCCAGCACCAAGAGCAUCGCCCGCAUCGCGGCCACCCGGCGCUCCCGGGCGCAGGACCGCGAGGCCGGCAGCGGCCGCUCCUCCCGCCACCUUCCGGAGGAGGUGGCCCCGGGCCCCAGCCCGGCGGACAGGAGGUGGCCUCACGCCAGCCUGUGCAGGGACCGCUCCGGGGAGAGGAAGGCCAGGAGCCAGCGGUCGCCCUCCGUCACGUGGAGCGUGCAGCCGGCGAUGGAGAAGCUUCAGCCCCCCUCCAUGGACCAUUCGGCUGAGAGCCGGCUGCCCCCUGUGCUCCCUAAGCUGUCCAAGUCAUCGGGAAAGAGCUUCUUCCCUGCUGUCCCAGCGGCCUCCAAGAUAAAGCCCAGCCUCAGUUUCCAUGCAGAUGACAACACGCUCCACGUGCCGGAGGUCAACUUCACCUUCCCCAGCGCCGUGUGGCAGAGCAGCAGCAGCCCCAGCAGGGUGCCCCUCCUGCCGCGGGACAUCCGAGGGUCUACAGACAGCGGAGGCCACCACCACAGCCCGCAGUCCCCCAGCAACGUCCGCAGGCACCGCAGCGGCAGCGCCAAGAGGCCAAGAAGACCCAAGUGACGAUGCGGCGGGCAGAGCGGGAGGCGGCAGGGGACCCGCGCACGCGCUCUCUGCCCCGGAGCUGGAGUGGACAGAUGCCGGCCCUGGCAGGGCCCCUCUGGGGGCGGCCCGCCCCAGCCUCCCACAGCCCUUUGUCCCAGUGGCGCCUCCCCACCACCUUCAGAGGCAGGCUGUCCGUGGAGUGACACAGCCUUCCCAGGACCCCUCCCUGGGCGCCAGGGCCUUUUCCGGGGCCUUCCCGCCCAGGACCACUGCACACGGUGCGUUCUGCUCCGGGAGAGUGCGCUCUGUGUGCUAGGACGCCAGGCCGUCCCCCUCCAGGUCAGGCUCAGGCUGCAAACCACGGGGGACACCCGAGUGGCCACCAGCAUCGUGUAUUAGCCGGGAUUCUCCAGAGAAACAGAACCAAUGGGGGUGUGUGCGUGUGCGUACACAAAAGAGAGAGAGGUCAAGUCUUCCUUUAAGGAGUGGCUCACGUGACUGCAGGGCUGGCCCGUCCGAAGCUAGCAGG